AUGCUUGCUAAGGCAGCAUAUAUACUAAAAUUGGAGCGAUACAGAGAGAUUAGCAUGGUCCCUGUGGAAGGAUGACACACAAAUCGUGAAGCUUUCCAUAUUUUU
Non-coding RNA from Myodes glareolus (Bank vole), 105 nucleotides. NCBI's taxonomy places the organism in Eukaryota, Metazoa, Chordata, Mammalia, Rodentia, Cricetidae. The record is from RefSeq and is a predicted model, not a curated record.